GACGGAGGAUGCAAGUGUUAUCCGGAAUCACUGGGCGUAAAGCGUCUGUAGGUGGUUCGAAAAGUCCACUGUUAAAAAAUUGAGGCUUAACUUCAAAGAUGCCGUGGAAACUUUCAAACUAGAGUAUGGUAGGGGUAGAGGGAAUUUCCAGUGGAGCGGUGAAAUGCGUAGAUAUUGGAAAGACCACCGAUGGCGAAGGCACUCUACUGGGCCACUACUGACACUGAGAGACGAAAGCUAGGGGAGCAAAUGGG
This 254-nucleotide ribosomal RNA is filed under the name uncultured bacterium. RNAcentral describes it as "partial 16S ribosomal RNA". It matches the Rfam family "Bacterial small subunit ribosomal RNA", at positions 524 to 776 of the family's 1533-position model. The record is from RNAcentral.